RNAcentral lists this ribosomal RNA (253 nucleotides) under uncultured bacterium. RNAcentral describes it as "partial 16S ribosomal RNA". It matches the Rfam family "Bacterial small subunit ribosomal RNA", at positions 524 to 776 of the family's 1533-position model. The record is from RNAcentral.
UACGGAGGGUGCAAGCGUUAAUCGGAAUUACUGGGCGUAAAGGGUGCGUAGGUGGCUUUAUAAGUUAGGCGUGAAAUCCCCGGGCUCAACCUGGGAAUUGCAUUCGAGACUGCGUAGCUAGGGUACGGAAGAGGGAGGCGGAAUUUCAGGUGUAGCGGUGAAAUGCGUAGAUAUCUGAAGGAACACCAGUGGCGAAAGCGGCCUCCUGGUCCAGUACCGACGUUCAGGCACGAAAGCGUGGGGAGCAAACAGG